Molecule: microRNA precursor, 57 nt
Filed under: Microcebus murinus (gray mouse lemur)
Lineage: Eukaryota; Metazoa; Chordata; Mammalia; Primates; Cheirogaleidae
Description: microRNA mmr-mir-151 precursor
Gene: mmr-mir-151
Source: miRBase by way of RNAcentral
UCGAGGAGCUCACAGUCUAGUAUGUCUUAUCCCCUACUAGACUGAGGCUCCUUGAGG